Molecule: ribosomal RNA, 355 nt
Filed under: uncultured bacterium
Lineage: Bacteria
Description: bacterial SSU rRNA
Rfam family: Bacterial small subunit ribosomal RNA
Source: RNAcentral
GGGCCCGCACAAGCAGUGGAGCAUGUGGUUUAAUUCGAUGCAACGCGAAGAACCUUACCAGGCCUUGACAUCCUCGGAACUUUCUAGAGAUAGAUUGGUGCCUUCGGGAACCGAGUGACAGGUGCUGCAUGGCUGUCGUCAGCUCGUGUCGUGAGAUGUUGGGUUAAGUCCCGUAACGAGCGCAACCCUUGUCCUUAGUUGCCAGCACAUUAUGGUGGGAACUCUAAGGAGACUGCCGGUGACAAACCGGAGGAAGGUGGGGACAACGUCAAGUCAUCAUGGCCCUUACGGCCUGGGCUACACACGUGCUACAAUGGCUAGGACAGACGGCCGCUAACCCGCGAGGGGGAGCUAA